GACAGAGGGUGCGAACGUUGCUCGGAAUUAUUGGGCGUAAAGAGCUCGUAGGCGGCCUGUUACGUCUGCUGUGAAAUCCCGAGGCUCAACCUCGGGUCUGCAGUCGAUACGAGCAAACUAGAGUGUUGCAGGGGAGACUGGAAUUCCUGGUGUAGCGGUGAAAUGCGCAGAUAUCAGGAGGAACACCGGUGGCGAAGGCGGGUCUCUGGGCAACAACUGACGCUGAGGAGCGAAAGCGUGGGGAGCGAACAGG
This 253-nucleotide ribosomal RNA is filed under the name uncultured bacterium. Its description in RNAcentral is "partial 16S ribosomal RNA". It matches the Rfam family "Bacterial small subunit ribosomal RNA", at positions 524 to 776 of the family's 1533-position model. The record is from RNAcentral.